This 23-nucleotide ribosomal RNA is filed under the name Komagataeibacter xylinus. RNAcentral's name for it is "partial 23S ribosomal RNA". Lineage: Bacteria; Pseudomonadati; Pseudomonadota; Alphaproteobacteria; Acetobacterales; Acetobacteraceae. The record is from RNAcentral.
AUGAGCGCGAUAAGGGGCAUUCG